This 270-nucleotide ribosomal RNA is filed under the name uncultured bacterium. Its description in RNAcentral is "partial 16S ribosomal RNA". It matches the Rfam family "Bacterial small subunit ribosomal RNA", at positions 501 to 770 of the family's 1533-position model. The record is from RNAcentral.
UUACGUGCCAGCAGCCGCGGUAAUACGUAAGGGGCAAGCGUUAUCCGGAUUUACUGGGUGUAAAGGGAGCGUAGACGGAUGGACAAGUCUGAUGUGAAAGGCGGGGGCCCAACCCCCGGACUGCAUUGGAAACUGCCCGUCUUGAGUGCCGGAGAGGUAAGCGGAAUUCCUAGUGUAGCGGUGAAAUGCGUAGAUAUUAAGAGGAACACCAGUGGCGAAGGCGGCUUACUGGACGGUAACUGACGUUGAGGCUCGAAAGCGUGGGGAGCA